RNAcentral lists this Y RNA (94 nucleotides) under Microcebus murinus (gray mouse lemur). RNAcentral describes it as "Y RNA (ENSMICG00000033582.2)". It matches the Rfam family "Y RNA". From Rfam's summary of the family: Y RNAs are components of the Ro ribonucleoprotein particle (Ro RNP), in association with Ro60 and La proteins. The Y RNAs and Ro60 and La proteins are well conserved, but the function of the Ro RNP is not known. In humans the RNA component can be one of four small RNAs -- hY1, hY3, hY4 and hY5. Lineage: Eukaryota; Metazoa; Chordata; Mammalia; Primates; Cheirogaleidae. The record is from Rfam by way of RNAcentral.
GACUGGUCCGACGGUAGUGGGUUAUCAGAACUUAUUAACAUUAGUGUCACUAAAGUUGGUAUUCAACCCCCUCUGCUAAAUUUGACUGGCUUAC